Molecule: small nuclear RNA, 23 nt
Filed under: Arabidopsis thaliana (thale cress)
Lineage: Eukaryota; Viridiplantae; Streptophyta; Magnoliopsida; Brassicales; Brassicaceae
Description: snRNA_01007
Source: RNAcentral
CUGCAUUUCUGACUAUCAGAUAA